UCCUACAAAGAAUGCAGCAACCAAGUAUCUUGGAAUCAGAGAGCAGCCCUGACCAGAUAACCAAACACGCCAGUGCCUUGACUUUGAACUUUGCAGCCUCCAGAACUCACAUACAAUAAAAUUUGCAAUGUACAGGGAAGAUUAACUGACCCGCUGCACGAAGAUGACACACAAAUUUAUGAAGAUGGUUCUUUUUAUUUUCCUUAAAUUUUAGGGAUGGCUUCUCAGUGUGUUGCCCAGGCUGGUCUUGAACUCCUGGCCUCAAGCAAUGCUCCCACCUUAGCCUCCAAAAAUGUUGAGAUGACAGGUGUGAGCCACCACACUCAAUUGCUUAAUGUAUUUUAAUCAUAAAAUGAAAUCAGUAAUUUUCACAUCUUUGUUAUUUAAUAUGUGAAAGAAAGGGAUUUCUGCAGAUAAGAGUAAUUUUUCAAAACAAUAAUAAAUAUGAAUUAAAUUAUAUCAAUCAUACAGCUGAAAAUAAGUAAAAUUAAAUGUCAGAUUAUCUAAAAUCAUCAAUAUAUUCAGUGAAUAUCAAUGAUUAUAAGUGUUUGUUGAUUUUAAAAUCUGAGUGUUAUGUGUAAAAUUUAAGAAAAUACAUAAUAGUGCCUUAAGUAUUAUAAAUUCUAAUAGCAUAUUUUGGGAAAUAAAGUUAAAACUAUUAAUUGCUGAGUUUACAGUAUAUAACCUCAGUGGAUGAUAAUGAGAGAUUAGAUUAUUGUGGAAUAUGAGAAUAUGUAUAAAAGUCAGAAAGAAAUAUUUUUAGCUGAUAUUCUUAAUAGUUAAGGGGUAGGUUUAUUAUUUUCCAUAAGUGGAUUAGUGGAGAUUUUUGCAAAAAUAUAAAAGUAAAGAUAUCACUACUACUGCAAUUAUUUUGCAUUUCUAUAAUGUCUUUUUAUUGAAACACUUAUAAAUCCUAUAAAACAAGUACUGGUACAUGUUCUCUAUAAAAUAAAUGAAUAUGGUUCGU
RNAcentral lists this long non-coding RNA (967 nucleotides) under Homo sapiens (human). The record is from RNAcentral. Lineage: Eukaryota; Metazoa; Chordata; Mammalia; Primates; Hominidae.